RNAcentral lists this long non-coding RNA (1453 nucleotides) under Neogale vison (American mink). RNAcentral describes it as "Neovison vison (American mink) lncRNA (ENSNVIG00000000506.1)". The record is from RNAcentral. Lineage: Eukaryota; Metazoa; Chordata; Mammalia; Carnivora; Mustelidae.
CAGACAGGGAAAUGUUUUCUUGCUUCACAGAAGAGACAGAAAGAAGAGAUGGUCUAUUUUCCACCUCGGGAUGCUGUCCUGCUGGCAGGUGAUGAUUGGUGAACUAGUCCAAAGACAAGCAUUCCCUCCUGACACGGGAAGUGUUUGGUUUCUCCUCUAUGCCUCAAACAUUUGGCUCUCUCCUGCUGUCAAAAAGUGGCAAUGAAGAAUUCAAAGCAAGAGAAGAAUUUAGAGAUGGAUAGAGAGAGGAAACGUGGCUCCAUAGGAACCCCAGGCCAGACAUUCAGCACUCUCCCCCUACACCAGUGGGUUCUAACCAACGGAAGGCAUGCCCAAGGAGCCAAGAAGAGAUUAAAAUGCAGGAUCUACUUUUUAAAUAGUAAAGCUGGUCUGAAGAAUUCCACAGAGCCCCUUCUGUCUCCAAAUCAGGGUUCCAGACUCAUAGGGCUCUGAUCUCCCUACCCAGUUACCAAAAGAGAAAUGAGAAUAGAAACUGCAGAUUGCUGUUGGGGCCACCAAGUCAGCUUAUUACACCGUGGUGGACAUUCCUGGUGCUCAGGACUUCCCCUUCUUCUUCUCUUCCUUAUCAUGUAGGAGGCAGUGUUGGUUUACCCUCUCUGAAGUUGGGCAGAACGGUGUGACCGGCUCUGGCCAAUGGAUUGUCCAUAGCAGGAACUGAAAUGUGUCAUUUCUGGGCUGAAGCAGGAAAAGUACAAUUCUCUAUGCUCUCUGUGGAGUCCCCUUCAGCCCCCAAGCCCACACAUGACAAUUUGGCCCAGUCCCUGGUAAUCACGGAGGCUUUUCUUGGGCAGGCUUCGUGGUUGGGGGGGAAGCUGUGCUCCUCACAUUAACUUUGGUUCACACACAGCGAAGGCACUGUGGUCUCUGGAGGCAGUAGUAUUCGAUGAGUAAGCCCCCUCCCCGCCCCGCCCCCACCCCAGCCUCCAGGUGGCCUGCUUGUAGGCAAAUCUGUGUUCUCAGCCUAGGCACCUCCUUUUGAAAGCCUCUCCAAAAGAGGUCAGAGUUUGAGGAUACUUUUCUUCACUCUGACUAGAUACAUUUCCACUUCUAGCCCUUCCCCUCCCUCUGCCUAGCCCCUGAGUCCAAAAGGUAGUGGUAGUCUUCUGCUUAAGGAUCUUCUUUCCCCCACCUCCCCCACUAACCGUCUGUGAUGUCUGUCAUCUCUCCCCAGCCUGGUGCUGUUCCCCAUGGAAAAAAGGAAGGUGGCAGGCUUUCCUAUUUGGCCUUACAGUCUCGCAGAGAGUGAAAUCAAGUCUUAAUUGUUACUUUGAGUUUGGCUUAUUGUAAAACCUCUGUUAACUGAAACACCCAGGGUGUGCAGUGUUCUGUUUACUAACCUUCAGUUUACUACUAAAAUCUUCCUCAAGUUCAUGUGGAUAAAAGCAUGCGCCCACUUUUCUGCUUUAGUUUUAAUAUAAUGUCAUCAUUCCAA